GAUGAACGCUGGCGGCGUGCCUAAUACAUGCAAGUCGAGCGAACAGACGAGGAGCUUGCUCCUCUGACGUUAGCGGCGGACGGGUGAGUAACACGUGGAUAACCUACCUAUAAGACUGGGAUAACUUCGGGAAACCGGAGCUAAUACCGGAUAAUAUAUUGAACCGCAUGGUUCAAUAGUGAAAGACGGUUUUGCUGUCACUUAUAGAUGGAUCCGCGCCGCAUUAGCUAGUUGGUAAGGUAACGGCUUACCAAGGCAACGAUGCGUAGCCGACCUGCGAGGGUGAUCGGCCACACUGGAACUGAGACACGGUCCAGACUCCUACGGGAGGCAGCAGUAGGGAAUCUUCCGCAAUGGGCGAAAGCCUGACGGAGCAACGCCGCGUGAGUGAUGAAGGUCUUCGGAUCGUAAAACUCUGUUAUUAGGGAAGAACAAAUGUGUAAGUAACUAUGCACGUCUUGACGGUACCUGGUCAGAAAGCCACGGCUAACUACGUG
Molecule: ribosomal RNA, 497 nt
Filed under: uncultured bacterium
Lineage: Bacteria
Description: partial 16S ribosomal RNA
Rfam family: Bacterial small subunit ribosomal RNA
Source: RNAcentral